Molecule: long non-coding RNA, 1120 nt
Organism: Chlorocebus sabaeus (green monkey)
Lineage: Eukaryota; Metazoa; Chordata; Mammalia; Primates; Cercopithecidae
Source: RefSeq, a predicted model, not a curated record
UGCACUCCAGCCUGGGCAACAGAGCAAAACCUGUCUCAAAAAUAAAAAUAAAAAUAAAAAUAAAAAAAUUCAUUGAAUGCCUGAGCUAACACUGAACCUUAAAUGCACUAACAGCAAAUCCCACAUACCCUUCCAGCAAGUACUCUGGACUAGGAGUGGGAAUAAGAAAGGGGCACCAGGAAGGGUAAGGGUAGACAAUGAUCUAGGAAUGAGAAAAUUCAGCAAUCCUUUUUAUUUAGCUCUUUGGUGCCAACACAGUGCCUAUGUACCCAUAUGCACACCCCCCUCCCCCAAGGCUUACAGUCUGAGGGAAAAAAAACCACAGUCCCCACCCAACCUGGGACAAAACUAGACGACCUCGUUGGGGGGCGUGGAGGGAGUGAUCGCCCCCCCACCAAGGAAGCUAGAGAACGCCGCCAGGGCACACAGGUCGCCUCUGCUGAGUCUGUGGGUUCCGUCCGGGCUGAGCGCCGGCAGCAGCCUGGCCUCCCAUCCCUUCCUCUGGGUUCCUUUCUAAAGGGGCAAGCGUGCUCCCAAAGAAGUCGCUAGUAUUUGAGGCCAUCUGGUGGAGAGCAAGGGCAUGGUAACCGAGGGAUCAAAGCCGGGCUUGCCUCCCGGGAGCUCGCAGAGACUGGGCUGCGUCUGCGGCGAGGAAGGACAAAGCAGAGCCACCUGAGGCCGAGCGGGAGCCAGACCCAGGGAUGAUCGUCCUGGAGUGCCCCUCUGCACCCUGGAGGGGACGCAGGACGCCCGGAGCAGUCCCAGGCCCUGCCCCUCGCUGCACCCACGGAGCUCCUCAGGGCCUUACAUCUAGAAGAGGGUCUGAGACUGCCUAUUGAAUUAGCAGCAGCAGCCAUCAGCCAAGGAGGGAAGCCAACUCUUUAUGGAAAGGAAUGCCUCUUUGAUAACCAGGCCCUGAGUCUGUUUCCAGCUCGCUUUGUCCUCCACACUAAAUGAGGACCAAGAAAAAUCAACAAUGAUUCUAAGCAUCAUGGAGACUUAGAUGUGUUCUCAAAAGUGAAACCAGGCGGACAUGGUGGCUCACACCUGCAAUCCCGGCACUUUGGGAGGCUGAGGUGGGAGGAUCACUUGAGGACAGGAGUUCGAGACCAGCCUGGCC